AUUGAACGCUGGCGGCAGGCCUAACACAUGCAAGUCGAACGCGUGGCGGACGGGUGAGUAAUGUCUGUGAACCUGCCUGAUGGAUGGCGAUAACUACUGGAAACGGUAGCUACUACCGCAUACCAUCAGAUGUGCCCAGCUGGGAUUAGUUAGUUGGUGGGGUAACGGCUCACCAAGGCGCCGAUCCCUAGCUGGUCUGAGAGGAUGACCAGCCACACUGGAACUGAGAAACGGUCCAGACUCCUACGGGAGGCAGCAGUGGGGAAUAUUGCACAAUGGGCGCAAGCCUGAUGCAGCCAUGCCGCGUGUAUGAAGAAGGCCUUCGGGUUGUAAAGUACUUUAAGCGGGGAGGCGUUACCCGCAGAAGAAGCACCGGCUAACUCCGUGCCAGCAGCCGCGGUAAUAC
RNAcentral lists this ribosomal RNA (406 nucleotides) under uncultured bacterium. RNAcentral describes it as "partial 16S ribosomal RNA". It matches the Rfam family "Bacterial small subunit ribosomal RNA", at positions 30 to 526 of the family's 1533-position model. The record is from RNAcentral.